UCCUCCUUGCCCUCCUCCUCUUCUCUUAAAGUAUUUACUUGUGCAUAUGUCUGUGUGAGUGUGUGUACACCUGUGUCUAUAUGUAUCACUCCCCACCUGUUCCUUUGAAGCAGGGUCUCUCCCUGAACCUGGGGUUUGUGUUUUCUAAGCUAUGUUGGAAACCAGUAGACCCCAGUGAUCCUCUUGCCUCUUACCCCCUCAGAGUUGGGGUCACAGGUGUACAAAGAAGUCCCAAGUUACUAUGUGGAUGCUGGGAUCUGAACCCUGGUUUUCAUGAUGGUACAGCAUAUCCUCUUAAUGACUGAGUCAUCUCACCUGCUCAAAGCAACCCUGACCCUCUCUCUCCUCGAUACAGGCCGCAUGUAUUCCAGGCUGACUUUAAACUUGCUAUGUCACCGAGGAUGACCUUGGAUUUCUCCUGUCCCUAUCUCCCAAAUGAUAGGAUCACAGGUCUACAUUAUCACAUCCAGUUCUUUUCAUUCUUUCAGCAGUGAUUCUGCAAAGCAGACGUGUGGUUCGGGUGUGAAAUGCCUCCCACAGGUUCAUGUAUUUAAACACCUAGCUCCCACCUGGGGGCAUUGUUUUGGAGGUUGCAGCUUUAGCAGAGAGGUGAGCCAGCCAUCUCGUGUUCCUGCUGAUGCAGCGAUAAGCUGCCCCCACUGCCGUGAGGGGCUGGGUGCUCCCACUGCCACGAUGGGCUGGGUGCUCCCACUGCCACGAGGGGCUGGGUGCUCCCACUGCCACGAUGGGCUGGGUGCUCCCACUGCCGUGAGGGGCUGGGUGCUCACACAAAUCGCUCCUUUCUUGAGUUGUCUCUGUCAGGCAUUUUGUCACAGAAACAGGUGAGGUGACUAAUACAACAGAAGUUUUUGUUUUAA
Molecule: long non-coding RNA, 878 nt
Organism: Mesocricetus auratus (golden hamster)
Lineage: Eukaryota; Metazoa; Chordata; Mammalia; Rodentia; Cricetidae
Exons: 2
Source: RefSeq, a predicted model, not a curated record